AAGUCGUAACAAGGUUUCCGUAGGUGAACCUGCGGAAGGAUCAUUAACACGUAUCCAACGUUAAACAACCCUGUGAACUUUAAGCCUGCCGGUCGGUGAUCGACCUCUGGCAACCGUGAGGCGUUAUCCUUACACAGUCAGUGACACUGUCAUUCACUAACUGCUUGGGGAAGCCAUGCCACUGCAUCUACCACUCAAUUGCAACUCCUUUUGGACAGAGGUCCCGAAUCAAAACUGUUUGGCAAUGAUUUACCGGGAUUGCUGUUCCUCAUGGGCUGCAAGAGUAGACAUGUCACAGGGCCACCGCGCCCCUUAAUCACUCCACUAGAAAAUGCCCCGCCUAGUGGUAACGCGCUAGGUAAAAAAAACCGAACAACUGUUAACAAUGGAUAUCUUGGUUCUC
This 403-nucleotide unclassified non-coding RNA is filed under the name fungal sp. RNAcentral describes it as "partial internal transcribed spacer region". The stretch from base 1 to 46 matches the Rfam family "Eukaryotic small subunit ribosomal RNA", at positions 1786 to 1831 of the family's 1831-position model. The record is from RNAcentral. Lineage: Eukaryota; Fungi.